This 23-nucleotide non-coding RNA is filed under the name Arabidopsis thaliana (thale cress). The record is from RNAcentral. Lineage: Eukaryota; Viridiplantae; Streptophyta; Magnoliopsida; Brassicales; Brassicaceae.
CUAGGUCGGGCCGUCCCAGUAGA